This 856-nucleotide ribosomal RNA is filed under the name uncultured organism. RNAcentral's name for it is "bacterial SSU rRNA". It matches the Rfam family "Bacterial small subunit ribosomal RNA", at positions 56 to 924 of the family's 1533-position model. The record is from RNAcentral.
UGCAGUCGAACGAGUCUCUGGGGGGUAACUCCUAGAGGAAAGUGGCGAAAGGGGCAGUAAUGUAUGGGUAACCUACCUUGAGGUCUGGGAUAGCCAUUCUAACGGAUGGGUAAUACUGGACGGCCUAAGUUGUCGGCAUCGAUGACUUAGUAAAGGUUACGCCUCGAGAGGGGCCCAUAUGAUAUUAGCUAGUUGGUGGGGUAAUGGCCCACCAAGGCAAAGAUGUCUAGCGGGUGUGAGAGCACGACCCGCGUCAUUGGCACUGAGACACUGGCCAAACUCCUACGGGAGGCUGCAGUCGAGGAUCUUCGGCAAUGGACGAAAGUCUGACCGAGCAACGCCGCGUGUGCGAUGAAGGCCUUCGGGUUGUAAAGCACUGUCGAGGGGAAACAAGCCGUAAGGUUGAGUGACCCCUGGAGGAAGCACGGGCUAAGUUCGUGCCAGCAGCCGCGGUAAGACGAACCGUGCAAACGUUAUUCGGAAUCACUGGGCUUAAAGGGCGCGUAGGCGGGUGAUCAAGUCAAUGGUGAAAUCCUCCAGCUUAACUGGAGAAGUGCCUUUGAUACUGAUUGUCUAGAGGGAGGUAGGGGCAUGUGGAACUUCAGGUGGAGCGGUGAAAUGCGUAGAUAUCUGAAGGAACGCCAGUGGCGAAAGCGAUGUGCUGGACCUCUUCUGACGCUGAGGCGCGAAAGCUAGGGGAUCAAACGGGAUUAGAUACCCCGGUAGUCCUAGCCCUAAACUAUGGGUACUAGAUUGUGGACUUUCAUGGGUUCACAGUCGAAGCAAAAGUGUUAAGUACCCCGCCUGGGGAGUAUGGUCGCAAGGCUGAAACUCAAAGGAAUUGACGGGGGCUCAC